CUAAUACUCCCUCCGUCCGAAAAUACUUGUCAUCAAAAUGGAUAAAAAAAAGAUGUAUCUGGACUAAAAUACAUCUAGAUACAUCCCCUUUUAUCUAGUUUGAAGACAAGUAUUUCCGGACGGAGGGAGUAUGAU
Triticum aestivum (bread wheat) is the source of this 135-nucleotide non-coding RNA. The record is from Rfam. Lineage: Eukaryota; Viridiplantae; Streptophyta; Magnoliopsida; Poales; Poaceae.